RNAcentral lists this ribosomal RNA (780 nucleotides) under uncultured bacterium. Its description in RNAcentral is "bacterial SSU rRNA". It matches the Rfam family "Bacterial small subunit ribosomal RNA", at positions 34 to 796 of the family's 1533-position model. The record is from RNAcentral.
CGCUGGCGGCGUGCCUAAUACAUGCAAGUCGGGCGAACAGAUAAGGAGCUUGCUCCUUUGACGUUAGCGGCGGACGGGUGAGUAACACGUGGGUAACCUACCUAUAAGACUGGAAUAACUCCGGGAAACCGGGGCUAAUGCCGGAUAACAUGUUGAACCGCAUGGUUCUACAGUGAAAGGCGGCUUUGCUGUCACUUAUAGAUGGACCCGCGCCGUAUUAGCUAGUUGGUGAGGUAACGGCUCACCAAGGCAACGAUACGUAGCCGACCUGAGAGGGUGAUCGGCCACACUGGAACUGAGACACGGUCCAGACUCCUACGGGAGGCAGCAGUAGGGAAUCUUCCGCAAUGGGCGAAAGCCUGACGGAGCAACGCCGCGUGAGUGAUGAAGGUCUUCGGAUCGUAAAACUCUGUUAUUAGGGAAGAACAAAUGCGUAAGUAACUGUGCGCGUCUUGACGGUACCUAAUCAGAAAGCCACGGCUAACUACGUGCCAGCAGCCGCGGUAAUACGUAGGUGGCAAGCGUUAUCCGGAAUUAUUGGGCGUAAAGCGCGCGUAGGCGGUUUUUUAAGUCUGAUGUGAAAGCCCACGGCUCAACCGUGGAGGGUCAUUGGAAACUGAAAAACUUGAGUGCAGAAGAGGAAAGUGGAAUUCCAUGUGUAGCGGUGAAAUGCGCAGAGAUAUGGAGGAACACCAGUGGCGAAGGCGACUUUCUGGUCUGUAACUGACGCUGAUGUGCGAAAGCGUGGGGAUCAAACAGGAUUAGAUACCCUGGUAGUCC